RNAcentral lists this ribosomal RNA (229 nucleotides) under uncultured bacterium. RNAcentral's name for it is "partial 16S ribosomal RNA". It matches the Rfam family "Bacterial small subunit ribosomal RNA", at positions 568 to 796 of the family's 1533-position model. The record is from RNAcentral.
UGCGCAGGCGGAAUAAUAAGUCAGUGGUGAAAGCCCACAGCUCAACUGUGGAAUUGCCAUUGAUACUGUUAUUCUUGAAUAUAGUUGAAGUUAGCGGAAUGUAUCAUGUAGCGGUGAAAUGCAUAGAUAUGAUACAGAACACCAAUUGCGAAGGCAGCUAACUAAGCUAUUAUUGACGCUCAGGCACGAAAGCGUGGGGAGCAAACAGGAUUAGAUACCCUGGUAGUCC